Non-coding RNA from Desmophyllum pertusum, 72 nucleotides. The record is from the annotation of a GenBank genome assembly. Lineage: Eukaryota; Metazoa; Cnidaria; Anthozoa; Scleractinia; Caryophylliidae.
GGCGUGGGGCCAAAUGGUUAGCGUGUUGGACUCCGGAUCGAUCGGUCCAGGUUCGAGCCCUGGCCAGGGUCA